AUUGAACGCUGGCGGCAGGCUUAACACAUGCAAGUCGAGCGGGGUGAUGGUGCUUGCACUAUCACUUAGCGGCGGACGGGUGAGUAAUGCUUAGGAAUCUGCCUAUUAGUGGGGGACAACAUCUCGAAAGGGAUGCUAAUACCGCAUACGUCCUACGGGAGAAAGCAGGGGAUCACUUGUGACCUUGCGCUAAUAGAUGAGCCUAAGUCGGAUUAGCUAGUUGGUGGGGUAAAGGCUUACCAAGGCGACGAUCUGUAGCGGGUCUGAGAGGAUGAUCCGCCACACUGGGACUGAGACACGGCCCAGACUCCUACGGGAGGCAGCAGUGGGGAAUAUUGGACAAUGGGGGGAACCCUGAUCCAGCCAUGCCGCGUGUGUGAAGAAGGCCUUAUGGUUGUAAAGCACUUUAAGCGAGGAGGAGGCUCUUUUGGUUAAUACCCAAGAUGAGUGGACGUUACUCGCAGAAUAAGCACCGGCUAACUCUGUGCCAGCAGCCGCAGUAA
This 503-nucleotide ribosomal RNA is filed under the name uncultured bacterium. RNAcentral describes it as "partial 16S ribosomal RNA". It matches the Rfam family "Bacterial small subunit ribosomal RNA", at positions 30 to 523 of the family's 1533-position model. The record is from RNAcentral.